RNAcentral lists this ribosomal RNA (254 nucleotides) under uncultured bacterium. RNAcentral's name for it is "partial 16S ribosomal RNA". It matches the Rfam family "Bacterial small subunit ribosomal RNA", at positions 524 to 776 of the family's 1533-position model. The record is from RNAcentral.
UACGGGGGGAGCAAGCGUUGUUCGGAUUUACUGGGCGUAAAGGGCGCGUAGGCGGCCACUGCAAGUCGGUUGUGAAAUCUCCGGGCUUAACCCGGAAAGGUCAAUCGAUACUGCAGGGCUAGAGUGCAGAAGGGGCAACUGGAAUUCUCGGUGUAGCGGUGAAAUGCGUAGAUAUCGAGAGGAACACCUGCGGCGAAGGCGGGUUGCUGGGCUGACACUGACGCUGAAGCGCGAAAGCUAGGGGAGCGAACGGG